GGUGUGUGUAGGUGUGGGUGUAGGUGUGUGUGUAGGUGUGUGUGUAGGUGUGGGUGUGUGUGUAGGUGUAGGUGUGUGUGUAAGUGUAGGUGUGUGUGUGUGUGUGUGUGUGUGUGUGUGUGUGUGUGUGUGUGUGUGUGUGUGUAGGUGUGAGUGUAAGUGUAGGUGUGUCUAGGUGUGGGUGUAGGUGUGUGUGUAGGUGUGUGUGUAGGUGUGGGUGUGUGUGUAGGUGUAGGUGUGUGUGUAGGUGUAGGUGUGUGUGUGUGUGUAGGUGUGUGUGUGUGUGUGUGUGUGUGUGUGUGUGUGUGUGUAGGUG
Molecule: long non-coding RNA, 316 nt
Organism: Clupea harengus (Atlantic herring)
Lineage: Eukaryota; Metazoa; Chordata; Actinopteri; Clupeiformes; Clupeidae
Source: Ensembl